Molecule: ribosomal RNA, 840 nt
Filed under: Photobacterium leiognathi
Lineage: Bacteria; Pseudomonadati; Pseudomonadota; Gammaproteobacteria; Vibrionales; Vibrionaceae
Description: bacterial SSU rRNA
Rfam family: Bacterial small subunit ribosomal RNA
Source: RNAcentral
AUUAGUAUGAGGUGGGGUAUGAUCCUCUCCAGGUGUAGCGGAUAAAUUGGAGAUGAUUUGAAGGAACUCCCGGGGCGGAGGGCGGCCCCCCGCGACAGAUACGUGACACUCAGAUGAAAAAGCGUGGGGAGCAAAACAGGAUUAGAUCCCCUGGUAGUCCACGCCGUUAAACGAUGUCUACUUGGAGGUUGUGGCCUUGAGCCCGUGGCUUUUCGGAGAUAACGCGUUAAGUAGACCGCCUGGGGAGUACGGUCGCAAGAUUAAAACUCAAAUGAAUUGACGGGGGCCCGCACAAGCGGUGGAGCAUGUGGUUUAAUUCGAUGCAACGCGAAGAACCUUACCUACUCUUGACAUCCAGAGAACUUUCCAGAGAUGGAUUGGUGCCUUCGGGAACUCUGAGACAGGUGCUGCAUGGCUGUCGUCAGCUCGUGUUGUGAAAUGUUGGGUUAAGUCCCGCAACGAGCGCAACCCUUAUCCUUGUUUGCCAGCACGUAAUGGUGGGAACUCCAGGGAGACUGCCGGUGAUAAACCGGAGGAAGGUGGGGACGACGUCAAGUCAUCAUGGCCCUUACGAGUAGGGCUACACACGUGCUACAAUGGCGUAUACAGAGGGCUGCCAACUAGCGAUAGUGAGCGAAUCCCAGAAAGUACGUCGUAGUCCGGAUUGGAGUCUGCAACUCGACUCCAUGAAGUCGGAAUCGCUAGUAAUCGUGAAUCAGAAUGUCACGGUGAAUACGUUCCCGGGCCUUGUACACACCGCCCGUCACACCAUGGGAGUGGGCUGCACCAGAAGUAGAUAGCUUAACCUUCGGGAGGGCGUUACCCAUCGGGUGGUUUCCG